UAUAUACUCCCCUAUCCGAAAAUACUUGUCAUCAAAAUGGAUAAAAAGAGAUGUAUCUAGAACUAAAAUACAUCUAGAUACAUUCCCUUUUAUCCAUUUUGAUGACAAGUAUUUCCGGAUGGAGGGAGUACUUC
Non-coding RNA from Triticum aestivum (bread wheat), 134 nucleotides. The record is from Rfam. Lineage: Eukaryota; Viridiplantae; Streptophyta; Magnoliopsida; Poales; Poaceae.